GGAGGAGAGCCGUGCGCAGCGGCGUGUGUGGGGCCGUGUGCAGACCCGCGUGUGGCGCAGGCAAGGACUCUGAAAAUAAACAGCCGCUGCUUUGCGAGUCGUCUUCCAGGGCCUGCGUCCGAGUCUCCACCGCUGUGGGCAGCUCAGACGCCGAAGCUCAAACUGCAGCUAUGAGCAGCAACGAAUGCUUCAAGUGUGGACGAUCUGGCCACUGGGCCAGGGAGUGCCCUACUGGUGGAGGUCGGGGUCGUGGAAUGAGAGGCCGUGGCAGAGGUGGUUUUACCUCGGAUAGAGGGUUCCAGUUUGUUUCCUCAUCUCUUCCUGAUAUCUGUUACCGCUGUGGUGAGUCUGGUCAUCUUGCCAAGGAUUGUGAUCUCCAGGAGGAUGCCUGCUAUAACUGCGGUAGAGGUGGCCACAUUGCCAAGGACUGCAAGGAGCCCAAGAGAGAGCGAGAGCAAUGCUGCUACAACUGUGGCAAGCCAGGCCAUCUGGCCCGUGACUGUGACCAUGCGGAUGAGCAGAAGUGCUACUCUUGUGGUGAAUUUGGACAUAUUCAAAAAGACUGCACCAAGGUGAAGUGCUAUAGGUGUGGUGAAACUGGUCAUGUAGCCAUCAAUUGCAGCAAGACAAGUGAAGUCAACUGUUACCGCUGUGGCGAGUCAGGGCAUCUUGCACGGGAAUGCACAAUUGAGGCUACAGCCUAAUUAUUUUCCUUUGUCGCCCCUCCUUUUUCUGAUUGAUGGUUGUAUUAUUUUCUCUGAAUCCUCUUCACUGGCCAAAGGUUGGCAGAUAGAGGCUGUUCCCAGGCCAGUGAGCUUUAACUUGCAGUGUAAAAGGAGGAAAGGGGUGGAAAAAACCGAAUUUCUGCAUUUAACUACAAAAAAAAAGUUUAUGUUUAGUUUGGUAGAGGUGUUAUGUAUAAUGCUUUGUUAAAGAACCCCCUUUCCGUGCCACUGGUGAAUAGGGAUUAAUGAAUGGGAAGAGUUCAGUCAGACCAGUAAGCCCUUCUGGGUUUGAGUGUGUUCCCAUGUAGGAGGUAAAACAAUUCUGGAAGCAUCUGAACCUCCAUAAAUAACAUUAAUUUUUAGUAUAAUGAUGGCCUUGGAAUGUCUGACCUCAGUAGCUAUUAAAUAACAUCAGUAACAUCUGUAUCAGGCCCUCAUAGAACAUAACAGUUGAGUGGGAGUAAACUGAAGACACAACGUGUUGAUGGCUAUGCCAGGGAAAUCGGGAUAAAAGCCCAACACAGGAGCAGCUUCAUCCCAUACAGAUGGUGAUGGCAAAGGUGUAGAACACAUUUUUUUCAAAGACUAAAUCUAAAACCCAGAGUAAACAUCGCUCAGAGUUAGCAUAAUUUGGAGCUAUUCAGGAAUUGCAGAGAAAUGCAUUUUCACAGAAAUCAAGAUGUUAUUUUUGUAUACUAUAUCACUUAGAAAACUGUGUUUCAUUUGCUGUAAUCAGUUUUUAAAA
Non-coding RNA from Myodes glareolus (Bank vole), 1470 nucleotides. The record is from RefSeq and is a predicted model, not a curated record. NCBI's taxonomy places the organism in Eukaryota, Metazoa, Chordata, Mammalia, Rodentia, Cricetidae.